Long non-coding RNA from Carcharodon carcharias (great white shark), 258 nucleotides. RefSeq lists it as uncharacterized. The transcript has 3 exons. The record is from RefSeq and is a predicted model, not a curated record. NCBI's taxonomy places the organism in Eukaryota, Metazoa, Chordata, Chondrichthyes, Lamniformes, Lamnidae.
UGAUUGGAAGGAGGGUGUACCUGCACACUGACAAAAGUCGUAUAAUAUCUGGACCGUGAUUUCUGGUUGAAAGCUACUCUACAAGAACACUUCCUUCAGGCUGCUGGUCUGGACUAAUUGAAGGCAACAGAAAAUCAUUAACAAAAAGACUCUGCUUACAAGAAUAUGGUCAUAUCUCAGAUGCCAGCCUUUUUGUGUGGUAGACAGAAAGUCAUGAAUUGAAGGCACAAUCCAGAAACUGGAACAUGAAAUCCAGAG